Long non-coding RNA from Octopus bimaculoides (California two-spot octopus), 1685 nucleotides. RefSeq lists it as uncharacterized. The record is from RefSeq and is a predicted model, not a curated record. NCBI's taxonomy places the organism in Eukaryota, Metazoa, Mollusca, Cephalopoda, Octopoda, Octopodidae.
AGAGUACUUACUUGUAACCAAAAAUCUCUUCCAGUCCGUAGCUUUGCAUUAAAUAAUGAGCUUACAGCAUAUAAUAAAUACAGAAAAGAAAAAACGACGGGAUACAGCAACAGAUGGUCGCCAAAUCCUCCUCAGUAAUCAGCCAGGAAGUCGACUGCAAUUUCGCGCCUACAAAAUUGCAGUUGACCCUCUGGCCAAUAUCUGACGACAAGUUGGCCACCGUCUGUGUCUACUUCCCGUUAGUUUGGGCAGUUCUUAUGCCUUUAACUUAUCAUGUACAUAUACAUACACUUAUACACAUACAUACAUACAUACAUACAUACAUACAUACAUACAUUAAACGCAGGUGUUAUUCAAAUCUUUAUACUUCCGACAUAUGUUUCGAAGAAAGCAUUGGUUUUAUUCCAGGAGGAAUAAUACAUCCUUGGAACUUGUGUGAAUCUUUGCUACCCUGAUUCGUUUGAUUUUACACUCCGCUCAAACCAUUCGUGUGUGCGAACACUGCUUUCAAAUUUUGGCCCAAUGCCAGUAAUUUCAAGGAAGUGGACAUGGUACAUCUAGGAUUACAUUAUCAAGAGUAUCCUUCCUUGGCGUUAGUCUUUAGCCCUUAUUCAACUGUGAUUCUGGACACCCGUGAUCAAAUUUCUUCCUGUCGGAUAGUGAUCCAAGCUUACGUUAUCGAAAAGUACAUCAAUUAAUGUUCGUUACCCCCCAGAUUAAACUAAUUAACUGCGCAGAUUUAUUUAAAGAAAAACAUACCUCCAGUUAUUUUGUUAGAUAUUUCGUAUCAUCUACUGACUUCCUGACUUGUUAUACUAAGUAAUUUGAGCAAAAUUUGGCUGCUAUUUCUGAUCAAUCAGGCUUCCCAUGUCGAGGCUACCUGAUUUGGUCGUUUAUAUCUCAUAUAAUUUUAAAAGAAAAGAGGGAAAUGAUGUAUCUCAUGGGAAUAUAUUGUAAAGAGAAAAAAUAUUGAAAAAAAGAAAAAGGCGAUAUCGAAUGACCGGACAAAAAAUGGCGCCUAGAAAAACUAACAUAUGCAACGUCUUUGCGUUUUUCUCUCCGUUUUCCUUCUCUAAAACACUUCAGCUUUGGAUAAAUGGUAAAAGAAAUACCAGAAACAUACGCAAAUAGAUAAAAAUGAAGCGAUUUAUCAUCAGAAGGUUGUUAGAUGUGAAAGAUAAGAUGAGGCUAAAACGAAAUGAUUUUAAGCCAAAUAGAUAACUACGAAACAACUGGAAAUGAAGAAAUGCAAAAAAAAAAAAAUGAUAAUAAUGAUAAAAUAAAACAAAACAAAAAUAAACGAUCGUAGAUCGAUUCCGGAAAUUACCACGUCUGAAAUGAAUCAUUAGGGUAAGGGGAAAACGUUGUGAUUUGUGAUUUCUAGUUGAGUAAUAUCGAUUUUCAUCAAUGAUUAAAUCAAAGAAGUGCAGGCCUGUGUUGAGUGUUCAAUUUAAGAUCUUGAUACUUUGAUCUGCUGUUCAGUCGCGAGUUCAGCCUGGAAAAGUAAAAAGAAAAAGAAAACAAAAAUGCAAGGAUUGACGGGUAACACAUACACGUAGACUUCUGAAAUGCCUAUGCUGAUGUAUGUGCGCGCGCGCUGACAAACACACAAAUUAUAUAUACAAAUGUAUGAUACAUGUGUGUAUGUGUGUGUGUGGGUGUGUGUCUGUCUGUCUGUCUAUGCG